UGGGGAAUAUUGCGCAAUGGAGGCAACUCUGACGCAGCCAUGCCGCGUGUGUGAAGAAGGCCCUCGGGUUGUAAAGCACUUUCAAUUGGGAGAAAAAGCUUGUCGUUAAUAGCGGCAAGCCUUGAUGUUACCUUUAGAAGAAGCACCGGCUAACUCCGUGCCAGCAGCCGCGGUAAUACGGAGGGUGCGAGCGUUAAUCGGAAUUACUGGGCGUAAAGCGCGCGUAGGCGGUUGCUUAAGUCGGAUGUGAAAGCCCCAGGGCUCAACCUGGGAACUGCAUUCGAUACUGGGCGACUAGAGUACGAGAGAGGGAGGUAGAAUUCCACGUGUAGCGGUGAAAUGCGUAGAUAUGUGGAGGAAUACCGGUGGCGAAGGCGGCCUCCUGGCUCGAUACUGACGCUGAGGUGCGAAAA
This 413-nucleotide ribosomal RNA is filed under the name uncultured bacterium. RNAcentral describes it as "bacterial SSU rRNA". It matches the Rfam family "Bacterial small subunit ribosomal RNA", at positions 355 to 759 of the family's 1533-position model. The record is from RNAcentral.